Salvelinus sp. IW2-2015 is the source of this 202-nucleotide long non-coding RNA. RefSeq lists it as uncharacterized. Lineage: Eukaryota; Metazoa; Chordata; Actinopteri; Salmoniformes; Salmonidae. The record is from RefSeq and is a predicted model, not a curated record.
AUUAUUUCUUAACUUACAGUACGCUCUAUACAUUGCAAUGGAAGCUCAGUGUGAUUUCCCUGAGGAAAACAUGCAGCACGUUAGGCGAUGGUGGUGCUUAGUUGUCCUGCAGAACUUUCCCAUGCCGUGUGAAGAAGAGGUUGAAAGAUCAAAAAAGGCUGCGAAAACAAAACACACUACAGGAUGUAGAAGACAUCCCCCC